GGGAUUGUGGCUCAGCGGUAGAGCGCUUGCCUCACAUGUGCAAGACCCUGGGUUCAAUCCUCAGCACCA
This 69-nucleotide transfer RNA is filed under the name Ictidomys tridecemlineatus (thirteen-lined ground squirrel). RNAcentral's name for it is "Spermophilus tridecemlineatus (thirteen-lined ground squirrel) tRNA". It matches the Rfam family "tRNA". From Rfam's summary of the family: Transfer RNA (tRNA) molecules are approximately 80 nucleotides in length. Their secondary structure includes four short double-helical elements and three loops (D, anti-codon, and T loops). Further hydrogen bonds mediate the characteristic L-shaped molecular structure. tRNAs have two regions of fundamental functional importance: the anti-codon, which is responsible for specific mRNA codon recognition, and the 3' end, to which the tRNAs corresponding amino acid is attached (by aminoacyl-tRNA synthetases). tRNAs cope with the degeneracy of the genetic code in two manners: having more than one tRNA (with a specific anti-codon) for a particular amino acid; and 'wobble' base-pairing, i.e. permitting non-standard base-pairing at the 3rd anti-codon position. The record is from Rfam by way of RNAcentral. Lineage: Eukaryota; Metazoa; Chordata; Mammalia; Rodentia; Sciuridae.